Molecule: long non-coding RNA, 446 nt
Filed under: Anas platyrhynchos platyrhynchos (common mallard)
Lineage: Eukaryota; Metazoa; Chordata; Aves; Anseriformes; Anatidae
Description: lncRNA (ENSAPLG00000028708.1)
Source: RNAcentral
AUGAACUCCCCUUCACUUCAGAGAAUAUUUAGGCUUUUUAAAACUGGUCCAGAAACCAUGGAAACCACUGAAAGAUUCCACCGACAUCAACAGAGCUGUGAUAUUGGGUCAUCCCAUGGUACCAGGUCCAUCAAGGAAACACAAAGUGGUAUAAGAAGAUAAGAGGAGUUUCAGUGCUUCUGCGAGAACUGGAAAAGCUAUGUCUCUGUGCAAACUACAUGGUAUUGAAAAUGCUGAUGUUCACAUCUCUUUGGGUCUCUCAUCAUUGUAAUAUGUACACAAUGGGUUGCAUGUUCCCAAAAGAAAUAUGCUUUGGCAUAGAUAAUACUCCUUACUGAACUGUCUCUCAUGAUAGCAUUAUAUCCUACACUUUUAUGCUUCAACAGAUUGUCCUGAUUUGUGAGUUUGAGUGAAUCACUUGGAAAUAAAGGUGCAUAUAUGCUACA